CCGAAAGGCAGGAGUGCCCGCAAGGGAGCGCGGAGACAGGUGGUGCAUGGCUGUCGUCAGCUCGUGUCGUGAGAUGUUGGGUUAAGUCCCGCGACGAGCGCAACCCUCACCCCUUGUUGCUACCAGGUAAAGCUGGGCACUCUAGGGGAACUGCCCCGGUCAACGGGGAGGAAGGCGGGGAUGACGUCAAGUCAUCAUGCCCCUUACGUCCUGGGCUACACGCGUGCUACAAUGGCCGGUACAAAGGGAUGCCACACCGUGAGGUAGAGCUAAACCCAAAAAGCCGGUCUAAGUUCAGAUUGGAGUCUGCAACUCGACUCCAUGAAGGAGGAAUCGCUAGUAAUCGCGUAUCAGCACGACGCGGUGAAUACGUUCCCGGGCCUUGUACACACCGCCCGUCACACCACGAAAGCCAG
This 416-nucleotide ribosomal RNA is filed under the name uncultured Methylomirabilota bacterium. Its description in RNAcentral is "bacterial SSU rRNA". It matches the Rfam family "Bacterial small subunit ribosomal RNA", at positions 1001 to 1414 of the family's 1533-position model. Lineage: Bacteria; Methylomirabilota (SeqCode). The record is from RNAcentral.